Molecule: ribosomal RNA, 784 nt
Filed under: uncultured Actinobacillus sp.
Lineage: Bacteria; Pseudomonadati; Pseudomonadota; Gammaproteobacteria; Pasteurellales; Pasteurellaceae
Description: bacterial SSU rRNA
Rfam family: Bacterial small subunit ribosomal RNA
Source: RNAcentral
CGGACGGGUGAGUAAUGCUUGGGAAUCUGGCUUAUGGAGGGGGAUAACUACGGGAAACUGUAGCUAAUACCGCGUAAUAUCUUCGGAUUAAAGGGUGGGACUUUCGGGCCACCUGCCAUAAGAUGAGCCCAAGUGGGAUUAGGUAGUUGGUGGGGUAAAGGCCUACCAAGCCGACGAUCUCUAGCUGGUCUGAGAGGAUGACCAGCCACACUGGAACUGAGACACGGUCCAGACUCCUACGGGAGGCAGCAGUGGGGAAUAUUGCACAAUGGGGGGAACCCUGAUGCAGCCAUGCCGCGUGAAUGAAGAAGGCCUUCGGGUUGUAAAGUUCUUUCGGUGAUGAGGAAGGUGUUUGUUUUAAUAGAGCAAGCAAUUGACGUUAGUCACAGAAGAAGCACCGGCUAACUCCGUGCCAGCAGCCGCGGUAAUACGGAGGGUGCGAGCGUUAAUCGGAAUGACUGGGCGUAAAGGGCACGCAGGCGGUGACUUAAGUGAGAUGUGAAAGCCCCGAGCUUAACUUGGGAAUUGCAUUUCAUACUGGGUCGCUAGAGUACUUUAGGGAGGGGUAGAAUUCCACGUGUAGUGGUGAAAUGCGUAGAGAUGUGGAGGAAUACCGAAGGCGAAGGCAGCCCCUUGGGAAUGUACUGACGCUCAUGUGCGAAAGCGUGGGGAGCAAACAGGAUUAGAUACCCUGGUAGUCCACGCUGUAAACGCUGUCGAUUUGGGGAUUGGGCUUUAAGCUUGGUGCCCGUAGCUAACGUGAUAAAUCGACCGCCUGGGGAGU